RNAcentral lists this non-coding RNA (337 nucleotides) under Pseudobutyrivibrio ruminis. RNAcentral describes it as "Bacterial large subunit ribosomal RNA". It matches the Rfam family "Bacterial large subunit ribosomal RNA", at positions 2589 to 2925 of the family's 2925-position model. The record is from Rfam by way of RNAcentral. Lineage: Bacteria; Bacillati; Bacillota; Clostridia; Lachnospirales; Lachnospiraceae.
UAAAGCGGUACGCGAGCUGGGUUCAGAACGUCGUGAGACAGUUCGGUCCCUAUCCGGCGCGGGCGUAGGAUAUUUGAGAGGAGCUGCCCCUAGUACGAGAGGACCGGGGUGGACGGACCACUGGUGUAUCAGCUGUCGACCAACGGCAUAGCUGAGUAGCCAAGUCUGGACGGGAUAAACGCUGAAGGCAUCUAAGCGUGAAGCCCCCCUCAAGAUGAGAUAUCCCAUUCCUUCAAGGAAAUAAGAUCCCUUAUAGACGAUAAGGUAGAUAGGUUCAAGGUGUAAGUGCGGUAACGCAUUCAGCUGAUGAAUACUAAUAGAUCGAAGGUUUAUUCUA